RNAcentral lists this ribosomal RNA (253 nucleotides) under uncultured bacterium. RNAcentral describes it as "partial 16S ribosomal RNA". It matches the Rfam family "Bacterial small subunit ribosomal RNA", at positions 524 to 776 of the family's 1533-position model. The record is from RNAcentral.
GACAGAGGGUGCAAACGUUGCUCGGAAUUACUGGGCGUAAAGGGCGCGUAGGCGGCACUGUUAGUCAGGCGUGAAAUUCCUGGGCUCAACCUGGGGACUGCGCUUGAUACGGCAGAGCUUGAGGAUGGAAGAGGGUCGCGGAAUUCCCAGUGUAGAGGUGAAAUUCGUAGAUAUUGGGAAGAACACCGGUGGCGAAGGCGGCGACCUGGUCCAUUACUGACGCUGAGGCGCGACAGCGUGGGGAGCAAACAGG